GAAACCUCUUUAUCAGGAGACAAGGGGAAGAGUUCCGAUCCCGUUCAAAAGGAUGUAUUAUUUGCCUUUGACGGAAAGAUUGAAGAGGUUGUAUCAGUGUGAGCGCACAGCAAAAACAAUGAGAUGGCAUGCAGAGCAUUCCACAAAUGGUGAGAUUAGACAUCCUUCAGAUGCGAAGGCUUGGAAACAUUUCCAGUCAACAUAUCCAGAAUUUGCGGAAGAGAGAAGAAAUGUUUAUCUUGGAUUAUGUACUGAUGGUUUCAGCCCAUUUGGAAAGAGUGGAAGACAGUAUUCUCCAUGGCCAGUUAUUGUGACACCGUACAACUUACCGCCAAGCUUGUGCAUGCGACGAGAGUUUUUGUUCCUCUCAAUUCUCGUCCUCGGGCCAGAGCAUCCUAAGAGAUCACUAGACGUGUUUCUUCAACCAUUGAUAUAUGAGUUGCAACAACUAUGGGCGCAUGGUUUUGAGACAUACGAUGUUUCGUGCAAAGAAAACUUUUAUAUGCGGACAGUACUUAUGUGGACAAUAAGUGACUUUCCAGCAUAUGAUAUGUUAUCCAGAUGGACAACACAUGGGAGGCUAUCAUGUCCAUAUUGUCAAGAUGAAACAUAUGCUUUCCAACUAAAGCACGGAAGGAAAACAUGUUGGUUUGACUGUCAUAGAAGAUUUCUACCACCUGAUCAUCCAUACCGUAAGAGUAAGACUUUGUUUACGAAGAACAAGCAGGUGUUGGAUGGUCCACCUAAGGAAGUUAGUGGGGAAGAUUUGUGGAAGCAGUUGAGGGAUUUUGGUGCAGAUAGGAAGCCUGACGUAGGUGGAGAUGAAAACAUUCGAGUCGAUGCGGUUGGAGAGCUACAUAACUGGCACAAAAAGAGCGUUUUCUGGGAUCUGCCAUAUUGGAAGGAUCAUCUAUUGCGGCAUAAUUUAGAUGUCAUUAGAGAUGGCAAAAUUUGAACCUGCCCGCGGGCCUAGCCCGUUUGAACCUAUUGCGGGGCGGGAUUGGUUACUAAGAUCCAGGCCCGAAUUUUUAGCGGGCUUUGCGGGAUGAGCUUGUGCGGGAUCGGGCCAGAAGCGGGAUGGGUUCGGUGUAUCCCGCGGGACACGCGGGGAUCCGCAAAGAUAAUUUGUCGAGAAGAACUUUUUCGACAAUCUGAUGAACACAAUCCUUAACAUCCAAGGUAAAACGAAGGAUAAUUUAAAGUCAAGGUUGGAUUUAGUCGAUAUCUGUGAUCGUUCUGAACUUCACGUCGAUGAGAAUGGUACGGUCCCUUUUCCCAUUUAUCGGCUGGAUGGUGCUGGAAAAGAAGAAUUCUUUGAUUGGAUUACAGAUAGAGUGAAAUUUCCAGACGGUUAUUCAUCAAAUUUGCGAAACUGCGUUGAUAGAAGCGAAUGAUAGUUUACUGGCUUGAAGAGUCAUGGUUGUUAUGUAAUUAUGCAGCGCCUCCUUCCGUUUUCUUUUUUCGCACUAUUGCCACGUAAUGUUCAUGAAGAAACUGCAGAAAUAAGUGUUUUUUCCGCGAUUUAUGCACCAGAGCAGUGAAUGCGGAGGGUAUUAGUAAUCUGAAGGCAAACAUACCAUUCAGCAUGUGCAACCUCGACAACAUAUUUCCUCCAUCAUUCUUUGAAGUAAUGGAACAUCUUGCUAUUCAUCUCGCAAGAGAAUUGGAACUUGGUGGUCCUGUACAGUAUCAAUGGAUGUAUCUUUUUGAGCGUUAUAAGCAUCAUCUGAAGAAGAAGGUCAAAAAUUUAAGCAAGGUGGAAGGAUCUAUAGUCGCCCAGGUGAUCAAUGAAGAAACUGCAAUCUUUGCUGAAAACUAUUUUCCAUCAGAAGUGCAUACAAAAAACCGAAGACCUGCUCGGCAUGAUGACAGAGGGGAGAGGGCAACAUAUCAUGUUACUGUCCCAAGCAUGUUCACGGAAAUAGGACGACUUAGUGGAAAACCCACGAAGCGGAGACUUACGGAGACCGAGCACGGUCAUUUGUAAACAUAUUUGCUCACCAACUAUGAAGAUGUUCUACAAUAUGAGAGGUAAAAAUAGUUAUUCAUUUAAAAUUUUUGAUUAAUAUUCAAUAAUUUUAUUUUAUAUUGAUAAUAUCUUUUUAUAUAGUGUUUAUAUGGCAGAGUUGCGUAUGACUCACAGGCAUGCGAUAGAAGAUGAGCUUCAAUAACUCAGACAUAACGGAUUUGCCGCAUGGCUUCUUAGUUAUGUGAGUCAUAUAUCAUAUUACCCUAUGCAUAUGAUUAGUUUAUAUUUAAUAUAAAGUAAUUAAUUUUUCACUCAUAUAUAUAUGUUUUUAAUUUUAUAGGUGAAUGAUAGUUUGGCCAGAGGUUUUGUGUUCAAUGAUUGGAUACGCGAAUUUGUGCGGGGACCAAACUAUGUGGUCAAAUCAUAUCCAAACUAUUGUACGCGAGGAUAUGCAUUCACAAAGAACGGUCAUUUCUAGGACAACAUAUGAUGAUGGUGUUUCGUCUUGUUCUGGUGACGAUGUCUACUACGACAACAUAGAAGAAAUAUUGGAAAUCCAGUUUCCUGGUAUGGUUGGAUUGUGGUGUGUAGUGUUCUAUUGUGAUUGGUAUGACACCACCCCAGAUAGAGGAGUGAAGAGUGAUGCGUUUGGUGUUACAUCGGUUCAUUCGCGGUGGAAACUUCAAUAUUAUGAUCCCUUAAAUCUUGCUUCGCAAGCUGAUCAGGUGUGCUACAUCAGUUACCCUCGGGUGACGUACAAUAAAGAUCCAUGUGUCACUGUAACGCAAAUCAACCCAAGAGGACGAGUGGAUGGAACUUCUGAUAAUGAACCAUUACAACCAGACUCUACCAGUAACUUGAGUGCAGUUGAAGAUUUGGCAGAUGUUGAACUCGUUGAGAAUUUUACCGAGUUUGGACUUGAUGAUGUUGUACAUUCAGAGGACGAAGCUGAGGUUGGGGAGUUUGAUGAAGAUUCUGAUGAUUCUGAUUAGGAAUUCUUAUUAUUCGACUUAUAUUUAUUAGUUGCUGUAAUUACAUAAGUUUUUUUUUCUCAAAACAAGUCUGUCGGUAUUCCGUCACUAUAUACCGACGACAUAGCGACGAAAUAUGGUUUCAUUCUAAGUGGCCAUGUUCCUCGGAAAUACCUUGGAAUAUACCUAGGACAUUCCGAUGAACUUGUUAAAUUCGUCGGAAUGUCCUCGGUAUAUUCCGAGGUAUUUUCGAGGACUUAUGUUUUUAAAAAAUUUCAGAUCAAAAUAUAUAUAAAUUUGGAUACCGAAACUAUGAAAAUAACACAUAAUAAGUGUUAAUAUAGUAUUAGAUCGUAACCGUUCAAAUAUAACAACUCAUUAAAAUAUUUAUGUAUGUAUAUCAUGGUUUUCAUAACAUCUCAUCGUAACACUCAUAUACUUAUACAAUCAUAUUCAUCUAAUCUUAUACUACAAAAAUGUUUUUGUGUAAAAUCGUGUUAUGUAAAUAUUUUUAUAGUUAAAUCUUUAUACAAAUACUAUAUAUAUUAUCAAAGAUUUGGAUUUUGCAUUUAGAAACUUGUGUUCAACCCCUAAACACUACGUCGUUGGAAUUCCGUAGGAAACUCUCGUCAAUAAUCCUUCGGAAAAUACCGACGACUUACUGACGGAUUAAAUAUCCGACGAAAUACCGACGACUUUACUAAAUCCGUCGGAAUAUCAAAUUACCCGGGAAAAACAAACCACGUGAAAAUUUUCGCGAACCGCCAAUUGGUUUAUAUUUAAUGAUUCCGACGAAACUCCGACGUACACGUGUUCGUCGGAAUCAUUAAAGAUAAAGACCCUAGACACUUCCUUCUUCGUCAUUUCUGCCUCUCUCUCUAAACUCUCUCCGAUUUCUCUCUCUUUGACGGCGACUCCGGCGAUUUGCGAGCUCCCAUCUCCGGCGAUUCCUCUUCCCACCGUCAGAUCUCUUCCCCACUCCACAAAUCAUGUAAGAUUCUAUAAAACCUUUGUGUAUUUCAAUUUUUUUGGGUUUAGGAAGUUAGAUCUUAGGGUUUAAGGUUGUUUGAUUGAAAACUUUAAGAUUGAAUGGAUAGUUUAGGAUCUAUUAGUUAGGAUUGUUGUUUGGAUUGUUGUUUUAAUUUUUUUUGGAUUGAAAACGUUUUUGUAUUUUUAAAAUUAUUUUUGCGUUUCCAGUAAUAUAUUAUAUAUAAUAAAACGUUUCUUAAAAGUCAUAUAUAUAUUUAACAACCUUUUCUAUAUUUAUAAACGUUUUAUAAAUAUUUUUUAUAGAAAAAACGAUUUUAUAUUUUUAUAUAGAUAAAAACGUAUAUAUAUAUAAAUAAUUUUUAGAUGUAAAAAUAAUUUUUAAUAUAUUUAACAACCAUUUCUACAUUUAUAGUUUUUUUUAAAACAUUUACAAUUUUUUUAUACAUAUAUAUAUAAAUCAUUUUUAGAUUUAAAUAUAUAAAUUAAAACAUUUUAAAUAGAAAAUUAUUUUUUAAUAUAUUUAACAAUCUUUUGAUGUAUUAACAUUUAUUUUUAGGUCCGAGGAAGCACGCCAUUCCGCAUCCCGUCGUUCUGCACCCCGCGGCGGCCGAGGUAGUUUGGCGAGCAGUUCCCGUCCAUCGGGUUCAUCUCACGAACAAAACUCGGUGCCCGCAUAUGUUCCCGCUCCCGCUCCUGCUCCAUAUGUUCCCGAUCCAGCUGCUCAUGAGGAUCCAGGGGUCAUGUCAGUUGAACAAUUGGUUCAACAACCAGGUCGAGAGCAUCUCCCGGUUCUCCAUCCCAACCCAUGACCGGGACAUACAACUUGGUUAGUAUUUUUAUUUUAUUUGUAGUGUUUUUCCAUUAAUUAACUUUCUAACAUGCAUUUUUCUUAAGGUUCAAUAAGUCGAGCAAUGGCAUUAGCAGGAGCAUCAACAAUAUAAUGUAUUCCAUGCUCCAUACCGAAUAUUCGAAGUGGAGUGUGAUUCCUCUCCAAGAGAGGGAGUUGUGGUUUCGUCAGUUUGCGGUAACUCUUCAGUGUUUUUUAAAGAAGUUUCCAAUUUUUUUAUAUAUAUCUACUAAUUAAAUUAUGUGUGUUGUGUAGCAAGAGUUCACUUGGGAUUCCGGUCUCACGGAAACAGUCCGUCAGAAAUUCAACGAAAAGGCCUUGGACUCUUAUACGAAGCAGAUCAACGCUUGGAAGACAGUAUGGCAGAAGAAAAAGAGGCCACGGUAUAUCAACGGGACGGUGUGGGAUCAGUUGAUAGUCCAUUGGGAGAAGGACGACACUGUAGCGACGUCUCGUAAGAACUCCAAGAACCGGAAGAGCGAUCGUGGCGGGAAAGGUAUGUAUGUGCACAACCUCGGCGCUUGCUCUAUGUCUUCUAAGGAGGAUCAACUUGUAAGUUUUAUUUUUUUUAUCUUUAUAUUUAUUUAAAUAAAUAAAUAUUUUUAUAUAUUCUUUGGCAAAUGACUGUUUUUUAGUUUAAAGCAAAUGACGGUAAUCCUGUUGAUAGUCUUCAACUUAUUAAGGAGGCUCACACUAACAAGAAGACGGGUCAAAUUCAGGACGCCGUGAUCAGAUCCUUCGUUGACUUCGUGGAAACUCAAAAAGAAGCUCUUCUAUCUUCCCAGCCUCUCUUUAAUGACGGCGAUUCUACGGGAGCUUCAACCAACAUGUUCCUAUUGCAAAUACAUGAGAUGGUCGAAAAAGUAAAAUUUUUAUUAAUAUAUUUAUUUUACAAUGUAGUUUACUAACUUUAAAUAUUUUUGUAGGCGGUUCCUAAAAGGAAAGGAGGACAUUUCGUUGGGUAGGCCCGCCGUGCUUCUUCGUAUCCGGCGUCUUCUUCGCAAGUUUCGUAUACCAAUCCCAUGAUUCUGGAGCAGCUACAGAACAAAGAUGAACGGAUUGUGGCAUUAGAGGAGCAGAACGCCACUAUCCUUUCUAGAAUGCCACUAUCCUUGCUCAGUUGGAAUCCCAAAAGAAGACCAACGCCGAGAUAUUGGAAUAGCUAGAUCGUUUGUUUCCCUCGGGUUCUUAGUUUUUUAUGAAUUUUAAAACUUGAUGAAUGUAUUUUUUCUAUUUAAGUUUGUAUGAAUUUAAAUUCUAUAAUAUUAUUAGUUUUAAAUUUCA
Brassica rapa (field mustard) is the source of this 6061-nucleotide RNA transcript. It is a transcript of the gene named probable transposase-like protein At4g04430, with no coding region annotated. Lineage: Eukaryota; Viridiplantae; Streptophyta; Magnoliopsida; Brassicales; Brassicaceae. The record is from RefSeq and is a predicted model, not a curated record.